RNAcentral lists this ribosomal RNA (789 nucleotides) under Methanoculleus sp. enrichment culture clone HA1_7. RNAcentral's name for it is "bacterial SSU rRNA". It matches the Rfam family "Archaeal small subunit ribosomal RNA", at positions 85 to 879 of the family's 1478-position model. The record is from RNAcentral. Lineage: Archaea; Methanobacteriati; Methanobacteriota; Methanomicrobia; Methanomicrobiales; Methanomicrobiaceae.
ACUGCUCAGUAACACGUGGAUAACCUGCCCUAAGGAAGGGGAUAACCUCGGGAAACUGAGGAUAAUACCCUAUAGGUUACAGACGCUGGAAUGCCCUGUAACCGAAAGUUCCGGCGCCUUAGGAUGGAUCUGCUGCCGAUUAGGUUGUUGUUGGGGUAACGGCCCAACAAGCCGAUAAUCGGUACGGGUUGUGGGAGCAAGAGCCCGGAGUUGGAUUCUGAGACAUGAAUCCAGGCCCUACGGGGCGCAGCAGGCGCGAAAACUUUACAAUGCGGGAAACCGUGAUAAGGGAACCCCGAGUGCCUGUAUAUGCAGGCUGUCCAGGUGUCUAAAAAACACCUGAAGAAAGGGCCGGGCAAGACCGGUGCCAGCCGCCGCGGUAAUACCGGCGGCUCGAGUGGUGGCCACUUUUAUUGGGCUUAAAGCGUUCGUAGCUGGGUUGUUAAGUCUCUUGGGAAAUCUGACGGCUCAACCGUCAGGCGUCCAAGGGAUACUGGCAAUCUUGGAACCGGGAGAGGUGAGGGGUACUUCGGGGGUAGGAGUGAAAUCCUGUAAUCCUCGAGGGACCACCUGUGGCGAAGGCGCCUCACCAGAACGGCUUCGACAGUGAGGGACGAAAGCUGGGGGAGCAAACCGGAUUAGAUACCCGGGUAGUCCCAGCCGUAAACGAUGCGCGUUAGGUGUAUCGGUGACCACGAGUCACCGAGGUGCCGAAGGGAAACCGUGAAACGUGCCGCCUGGGAAGUACGGUCGCAAGGCUGAAACUUAAAGGAAUUGGCGGGGGAGCAC